Fukomys damarensis (Damara mole-rat) is the source of this 309-nucleotide long non-coding RNA. RefSeq lists it as uncharacterized. NCBI's taxonomy places the organism in Eukaryota, Metazoa, Chordata, Mammalia, Rodentia, Bathyergidae. The record is from RefSeq and is a predicted model, not a curated record. The transcript has 3 exons.
AAUAUUUUGUUGAAAGAAAACAAAUCAUUCCUGGAAAGUGUACACGAUUAUGAUGUCAUACAGGACACAGGCAAAACAGUGGUGACAGUGAUUGAUGACACUUGAAGGGAUCUGAAGUAAGAAGUGACUGGGCCAUGAGAGACUUUCUGGACCUGACUUCCUAAUCACUGAGAUUCUCAUAUUCUUUCAGAAAAGAACAAGAAUCCACCAGCAUUACAUAGCCAUCCCAAGUCUUCUAACAUUUCACCACUGAAAGAUGAUUCCACUUGAAUACCCUUGUCACAAAGGUUGACUGAUUCUUUGAGUCCC